AUAUAUCCCUUUUCCUAGUUGGCAUAAUUUCAAACAUGUUUUACAUCCACUGACAAAACUAUAAAGCAUUUGCACAUAUAUUUCUAUCAUAAUAUACAAACGAAUGUUGUCCGAAUUAAGUUGAUUCUAUCCAUAUCAUCCGGGGCGACCAUCAACAAACCACAAUUUUGGGACCUUUAUUUUGAAAAACAUCUCAAGGAUGGGAUAUUGCAUCAGCUAGACACAAGUGAAGACACCCUGGAAUCAACUGUAAGAUGGCAAGAUUAACAAGCAAAGAGAAGACUGCUCGUCAUAGACAGAAAGUCAACUCCGACCCUGCAGCAAGAGCAGAGUAUCUUGCAAGGAAAAGAGAGAGCUACCAAAAAAGAAAGCAUGAGGGAAAGAUUUCAUAUGUGAAGUCAGAUGAGUUAUCAGAGAGGGAGAGGAAUAAUCUGAGAAACAAGUGGAAGGCUGCAUCCAGAGGAUACAGGGAGAGAAGAAAGAUGGAGAAGGCAAUGUUGGACCUGACACCUCAAUCCAUAGAGAACACUCUGCCAGAUCCAGCAGGUGUAGAAGGAGUGGAGGGGCAGCAAGAGAGUCCAGGGGUGUGUGUGGUGGUGGAUGCUCCACCUCAAAAUGAGGAUUUCCAUCCACAGAUGUCCUCCACACCAGAGAGAAAAGAUAGAGAAAA
This is a long non-coding RNA of Cyprinus carpio (common carp), 670 nucleotides long. RefSeq lists it as uncharacterized. Lineage: Eukaryota; Metazoa; Chordata; Actinopteri; Cypriniformes; Cyprinidae. The record is from RefSeq and is a predicted model, not a curated record. The transcript has 3 exons.